UACGUAGGGACCAAGCGUUGUCCGGAAUCAUUGGGCGUAAAGCGCGUGUAGGCGGCCCUGAAAGUCUGGUGUGAAAACUUGAGGCUCAACCUCAAGCUGUCGCUGGAUACUGCAGGGCUUGAGUCCGGAAGAGGAGUGUGGAAUUCCUGGUGUAGCGGUGGAAUGCGCAGAUAUCAGGAGGAACACCUAUGGCGAAGGCAGCACUCUGGUACGUGACUGACGCUGAGACGCGAAAGCGUGGGGAGCAAACAGG
This 253-nucleotide ribosomal RNA is filed under the name uncultured bacterium. Its description in RNAcentral is "partial 16S ribosomal RNA". It matches the Rfam family "Bacterial small subunit ribosomal RNA", at positions 524 to 776 of the family's 1533-position model. The record is from RNAcentral.